RNAcentral lists this ribosomal RNA (808 nucleotides) under Macrocheles sp. 3 APGD-2010. Its description in RNAcentral is "eukaryotic LSU rRNA". It matches the Rfam family "Eukaryotic large subunit ribosomal RNA", at positions 127 to 803 of the family's 3401-position model. The record is from RNAcentral. Lineage: Eukaryota; Metazoa; Arthropoda; Arachnida; Mesostigmata; Macrochelidae.
UUUUGAACAAUAAGAGAUGAGGUGUAAAGGUUUCUUGGUUUGACAAGCGUUCGGCUAAAUUAUUAUUGAGUGAGUACUCAUAGAAGGUGGAAAGCCUGUAUAACUGAACCGCUUUGUUUAAACCGAGAUACUGAAGAGUCUAGUUGUUUGGGAGUACAACUUAAAGUUGGUGGUAAAUUUCAUCAAAGGCUAAAUAUAAGAAGGGACUAAUAGCGAACAAGUACCAUGAGGGAAAGUUGAAAAGAACUCUGACGAGAGAGUUAAAAAGUACGUGAAACCAUAUUGAGUAAAACAGAUAACUGUGUUGUUAUGCGGCGUGCCUAUCAACAGCAAAUUUGGCGUUGUGAUGCUAUUCGUANAGGCUGAUUAUGCAGCUGAUUACGGGUGGUUAGCAUAGUUGAAUGUUCUGUGUAUUAGUGCGCGUCCUAUCAUUGAGAAACUAUGCCAUCAUAGCUUCGGUGCACACCAGUUCGCACUAUGUGCGUAGCUGUGUACUGGGUUUACUUGAAGGUGUCGUUUUGCUGUAGUGCAGCUGCGGUUACGUUUACUGAAUAUAGUUGCUUUGUCUGCGAUUUGGUUUAUUCCGAUUCGCGGUGAGUAUACUGUAGUAGGUAAGUGGCCGUCAUCAAUGAUAAACAUUAGUUAUUUGACCCGUCUUGAAACACGGACCAAGGAGUUCAAAUGGCACGCGAGUCGUUGGGUUUUAAACCCGAAGGCGAAGUGAAAUGCAAACGUAUUGUUAUUUGUGGUUGUUCCAUGAUUAAGCGAUAAGCUACUUGUGCUUCUGGCACUUGUAGACUAAAAGCGU